This is a long non-coding RNA of Ostrinia nubilalis (European corn borer), 2187 nucleotides long. RefSeq lists it as uncharacterized. The transcript is spliced from 3 exons. Lineage: Eukaryota; Metazoa; Arthropoda; Insecta; Lepidoptera; Crambidae. The record is from RefSeq and is a predicted model, not a curated record.
UGUAGGGUAAUCGAUCAAUACAUUGCAUUCGUGGUAAUCAAUGGUACAUUGCGUGCGCAAACAGCUCAACAAAUUAUUCUACUGCUGUACCUCUUUUCACGUAAAAAUAACUAUUAGACCCAAAAACCCGAUUAUUAGCGAAAGCGAAAGAAAAAUUCGGAUUUUGAAACGAUGGGUGACGACGAUUGCCCUGUUGCUAGUGCUAGUGGAGUACACAUUGGAAACGGCGAAGCUGCAGCAAGUUCAUUGGAAGAAAAUGUGGAAGACGGACUCACCUUAGACCUUCCUGGGCCCAGAAUAACCAUGCCGUCAAUCAGGACAAUGACCGAUGAACAAAAGUGGCACCGACUUCUUGGCCACAUUGAUGUGAAUCUUUUAUAUGUAAUGUGUAGGUACCAAUGUUUAACUGGACUGCCAACUGAGUUCAAUAUAAAUAACGCAGAAUGCAAUGUUUGUGCGAAAGUUAAAAAAUCUCCUAUAGAAUCGGUGUAUAAUCGUAAUACAGUAAAAUCUUCAAAUAUUCUAGAAGUGAUUCAUAUGUAUGUGUCUGACAAAAUGAGGACCAGUAGAAGGGGGAAUCAUUAUUAUAUCAGUUUCGUUGACGACUAUACCAAAUAUGUUUUCACUUGUGUUAUUAGUAAUGUUAGUGAGAUAUUGAAAUAUUUGAAACUGUAUGUUGAUCAUGUGGAACGCUACACAAGGAAGAAAGUCAAGAACAUAAUAUGGGACAAUGGCCAUGAGUAUAUAAAUGGAGAUUUUCUUAGAUUUGCAAAUCAGAAAAGAAUAAAAAUGCGUACUGGUAAUAAUAUCACUGGAGUAGGCUUUACUUAUGGUAAUAUAAUUUUAGAUCGGGCUAAGAAAAUGUAUGCAGAUGCUGAGGUUACAAUGACCUACUGGCCCGAGUGUAUACUAAAUGCUUCUACAUUAUUAAAUUUGGCUAUAAAGAAUAGAAAUGAUAGAAUGACUCCAUAUGAAAAACUAUUACAUGAAAAACCAUGUGCGGAUAAACUGAAAAUAUUUGGUAGUAAUUGUUAUGUGUACCAAAUAAUGUUCCAUUAUCCAAUACUCCAAACGGGAAAAAUAUUGGGGUACAUUAACUUAGGCUACCGUGUUUUACAAGAAAAUGAUGUAUUAAUAAACCCCUACAUUUCUUGCUUUGAGUACGAGUAUUAGUUAUUUUUCACUUUUUAUGGUUCCACAUUGUCGAUGGUUGAUGCAUAUUCAGUUAACAACUAGUUUAUUUGUUUUGUUUCUUAGGAUUUCGUUGUUAUUAAUUUUUUUAUCUGUACUUGUAAAUGACUUACUUGUUCUAAUGUAAGCAUAAAUUAGAUACCGCGCCAGUUCUUUAAUAAUUCUGCUAAAUGGUAGAUACCUUCUACUUGUUUUCUGUCACAGUAAAUAAUCUGCUAUUACUUUAGUGUUAAGGCGAAAUUUCACUCCAGUACUUAGUUGAGAUAAAAAUGUCUUUAAUAUUAGCUACUUUAGACUAUACACAUGGUCACCUUUAAGUAUUUUAAUCCACACAUCAGUGAAAUAAAUACUUAUGGUUAUUAUAACUGUACUUAGAUAUUCUAAGGAUAUAAGUUUAACUGAUCUCUAUAUGUCUAUAAUCAGUAUUUUUAAGAAUUAUUAAAAUAAGAGUUAAAUACGCAGGUAACUACUCAUUUAGAUGGUUAGGUAAUUACUUGAAAAUGAAUUAACACAUUAUAUGUGUAAAUAGGUAUCUAUGUAAUAGGUAUAUUAAUUAAUCAAUGUUUGGAUUUAACAUUAUAAAUAAUUGUAUUAAAACUUGUGAUAUAUCAAGUAAUUAUGUGUAUAGUAAUCUAGUCAAAAUGGAUUAUGUAGGUGUCUAUAUUUAGUGGCCAAAUAAGUAGUAGUACGAGUAUAACUACUUAUAUUGUAAUGGUAUAUUCUGGCUAGGGAGCAUAGUUUCCUAGGGUCAUCAGAUGAUGAUUUAGUCUUUUAAAAUAAACUUAUUAGGUAUAAUAAUAUUACUACUUAAUUUAAUGUCCUAAUUAAGUAUAAUGUGACUGAGUUUUUCUCUUCUUUAUAAUAUCACAACUGUAGGAUCCAAUCUAUUUAUACGUAGGUGUAUGUACAAGUAUACUGGUAGUAAGAGUGUUUUUGAAACAAAUUAUAUUUAUUAUAUUAAGUACCUACUAAUAUUUUAUUGAUCUCUACCAUUCA